GAUGAACGCUAGCGGCAGGCCUAACACAUGCAAGUCGAGGGGCAGCACAUAAAGUGGUUUACUACUUUUGGUGGCGACCGGCGGACGGGUGCGUAACGCGUAUGCAACCUGCCUCCAACAGGGGGAUAACGGAGAGAAAUUUCCACAAAUACCCCAUAAUACCAAAAUCGGCAUCGGUUUUGGGUGAAAACUCCGGUGGUUGGAGACGGGCAUGCGUUGUAUUAGAUAGUUGGUGAGGUAACGGCUCACCAAGUCAACGAUACAUAGGGGGGCUGAGAGGUUAGCCCCCCACACUGGUACUGAGACACAGACCAGACUCCUACGGGAGGCAGCAGUGAGGAAUAUUGGUCAAUGGGGGCAACCCUGAACCAGCCAUGCCGCGUGCAGGAAGACGGCUCUAUGAGUUGUAAACUGCUUUUACAAGGGGAUAAAUCGGUGUACGUGUACACCGUUGAAGGUACCUUGGGAAUAAGGAUCGGCUAACUCCGUGCCAGCAGCCGCAGUAA
RNAcentral lists this ribosomal RNA (506 nucleotides) under uncultured bacterium. Its description in RNAcentral is "partial 16S ribosomal RNA". It matches the Rfam family "Bacterial small subunit ribosomal RNA", at positions 28 to 523 of the family's 1533-position model. The record is from RNAcentral.